This 253-nucleotide ribosomal RNA is filed under the name uncultured bacterium. RNAcentral's name for it is "partial 16S ribosomal RNA". It matches the Rfam family "Bacterial small subunit ribosomal RNA", at positions 524 to 776 of the family's 1533-position model. The record is from RNAcentral.
UACGUAGGGCGCAAGCGUUAUCCGGAAUUAUUGGGCGUAAAGAGUUCGUAGGUGGUUUGUUAAGUCUGAUGUUAAAGACUGGGGCUCAACCUCGGGACUGCAUUGGAUACUGGCAGACUUGAGUGCGGUAGAGGCAAGUGGAAUUCCAGGUGUAGCGGUGAAAUGCGCAGAUAUCAGGAAGAACACCCGUGGCUAAGGCGGCUCUCUAGUACGUGACUGACGCUGAGGAGCGAAAGCGUGGGGAGCGAACAGG